RNAcentral lists this ribosomal RNA (254 nucleotides) under uncultured bacterium. Its description in RNAcentral is "partial 16S ribosomal RNA". It matches the Rfam family "Bacterial small subunit ribosomal RNA", at positions 524 to 776 of the family's 1533-position model. The record is from RNAcentral.
UACGUAGGCAGCAAGCGUUGUUCGGAGUUACUGGGCGUAAAGGGUGCGUAGGCGGCCGUGUAAGUGUGGUGUGAAAUCUCCCGGCUUAACUGGGAGGGUGCGCUACAGACUGCAUGGCUAGAGUGUGGGAGAGGAAAGUGGAAUUCCUGGUGUAGCGGUGAAAUGCGUAGAUAUCAGGAGGAACACCGGUGGUGUAAACGGCUUUCUGGACCAUAACUGACGCUGAUGCACGAAAAGCGUGGGUAGCAAACAGG